Sphaerodactylus townsendi is the source of this 127-nucleotide small nucleolar RNA. RefSeq annotates it as small nucleolar RNA SNORA40. The transcript has a single exon. The record is from RefSeq and is a predicted model, not a curated record. Lineage: Eukaryota; Metazoa; Chordata; Lepidosauria; Squamata; Sphaerodactylidae.
AGCACGGCUUCGGGGUUUGGCAAGUCCCGCCGACCAAAACCCACGAAGCCGAGUGCUGAGACCAAAACCUUCCUUUGCAACCCACAGCCGAUUCGUAUCGGUUGUGUUACUUACAGGAAGGGACAUC